This 74-nucleotide transfer RNA is filed under the name Bacteroidaceae bacterium. RNAcentral's name for it is "tRNA-Met". It matches the Rfam family "tRNA". Rfam says of the family: Transfer RNA (tRNA) molecules are approximately 80 nucleotides in length. Lineage: Bacteria; Pseudomonadati; Bacteroidota; Bacteroidia; Bacteroidales; Bacteroidaceae. The record is from RNAcentral.
AGCGGCAGAGUGAAACAGUUUACACGUUUGUCUCAUAAGCAAAAAACACCAGGUGCGACUCCUGUGUGCCGCUA